UUCAUUUAUUUACCUUAGUUAUUUUAGAAUUUAAUAGCAUGAGUUUUGAUAGUUCUUUCAUAUUAUCAGGUGGAGUACUUGGAUAUUACCACAAUUUAUAGUCUUGGGUACUAAUAAGAGGAUUUUUAGAGUCCUAGGCUUCCAUGUGUUAGUGGGAUGUAUCAGUCAAAAGCUUGGACGUUUGGAUUAUUUAUUGUUGCAUGGUUGUGUCAUUCUUUGCUUCUCAUCGGAGCUCAGAAUCCGAUUACCAACCCCGAAGAAGUGAGGGCUUUGAGGGCCAUCAAGAGCAGUUUGAUAGAUCCUAAUGGGAAUCUGAGUAAUUGGGAUCAAGGAGACCCAUGUACAUCAAUUUGGACAGCGGUUUUUUGCUACAAUACAACAUUAGACGAUGGAUAUCUACAUGUUCAACGAUUGGUACUACUGCAUAUGAAUUUGUCUGGAACUUUAUCACCAGAGCUUGGCCGCUUAUCAAAUUUGAAAAUAUUGGAUUUUAUGUGGAACAACAUCAGUGGGAGUAUACCAAAGGAGAUAGGCAGUAUUACCUCUUUGGAACUCUUGCUUUUGAAUGGAAACCAAUUAACAGGUCCCUUACCAGAAGAGCUUGGUUAUCUUCCAAACAUGGACAGAAUACAAAUUGACCAAAACCAAAUAUCGGGGCCACUACCUAAAUCAUUUGCAAACUUGAAUAAAACGAAGCACUUUCACAUGAACAACAAUUCGAUCAGUGGGCAAAUCCCGCCUGAGUUAUCCAGAUUACCAAGUCUUGUUCACUUGCUUCUCGAUAAUAACAACUUAUCAGGAUAUCUUCCAGAAGAGUUCUUCAAACUGCCAAAUUUACAGAUACUUCAAUUGGAUAACAAUAACUUCAAUGGGACUACAAUUCCUGCUAAUUAUAGCAAAAUGUCUAAACUGCUGAAGUUGAGCCUUAGGAACUGUAGUUUGCAAGGACCAAUUCCUGAUUUUAGCCAAAUACCAAACCUCCUUUAUCUAGACCUUAGUUCAAAUCAGCUAAAUGGAACCAUACCUCCAAAUAGGUUUUCUGAAAAUAUCACGACUAUUUUGUUAUCCCACAACCAUCUUACUGGAGCAAUUCCCUCCAACUUUUCAGUUUCGGGUCUUCAUGAUCUUCAAAGACUGUCCAUUGCAAACAAUUUAUUGAGUGGCUCUGUUCCAUCCUUCAUUUGGGAAAAUAGGGCUUUGAGUGGAAUGGAGAAACUAACAGUGGAUUUGCAGAAUAAUAAGCUUUCAAAUAUUUCAUUUACGGGCACUGCUUAUCUACCUCCAAAUGUCACUGUCUGGCUUAAAGGGAAUCCCUUAUGCUCAAACUCCAAGCUAGCCCAGUUUUGUGUAUCUCAACCCAAGGAUAAAAAUAACAGUCAGAGUUCAACAAAUAUCACUUCUGUUUGUCUGGCUCAAGCAUGCCUACCCCCUUAUGAAUAUUCACCUACAUAUCCAGUAGAUUGUUUCUGUGCUUCUCCUUUGUUUGUUGAAUAUCGGUUGAAAAGCCCUGGAUUCUCAGAUUUUCGUCGGUACAGACAUACGUUUGAGAAAUUCCUGACUUCUACUCUUAACUUGUUUCAUUAUCAGCUGUACAUUGAUUCAUUUGAAUGGGAAGAAGGACCUCGACUGGGAAUGCAAUUGAAGUUUUUUCCUGUAUAUGAUGCUGAAAACAGCACACGUCUUUAAUAGGAGUGAGAUUCAGAGAAUCUUUGAUAUGUUCACAUCAUGGAAAAUUACUAAUUUUGACAUUUUUGGACCUUAUGAAAUUAUCAGCUUCUCUCUACUGGGCUUCCAUAAAGAUGAUGGUGCCAACUCUCCAAGUUCUGGUUUAAGCAAAGGUGCACUGGCUGGCCUAGUACUGGGAACCAUUGCAGGUGCAGUUACAUUGUCUGCAGUUGUUAUUCUUCUGAUAAUGAGAAUGCAUGUGGGGAAUUACCAUUCACUUCCAAGAAGACAUCAUUCAUCUACGCGCUCCAUAAAAAUUGUUGGGUUGAAGGAUUUCACUUAUAGAGAAAUGGCCGUAGCUACAAACAACUUUGAAAAGUCCACACAGGUUGGAGAAGGAGGGUAUGGUAAGGUUUAUAAAGGCAUUCUAGCUGAUGGUACAGUUGUGGCCAUAAAACGUGCACAAGAGGGAUCCUUACAGGGUGUAAAGGAGUUCUUGACAGAGAUAGAAUUUUUGUCAAGGUUACAUCAUCAAAACCUUGUGUCUUUGAUUGGAUAUUGUGAUGAAGAAGGUGAACAGAUGUUGGUCUAUGAGUUUAUGUCAAAUGGUACUUUAAGGGAUCACCUUUCUGCUAAGUGUAAAGAACCUUUGAGUUUUACAAUGAGAUUGAGAAUUGCCCUGGGAUUGGCCAAGGGCAUCCUCUAUCUACAUACUGAAGCCAAUCCUCCUAUAUUUCACCGAGAUAUCAAGGCUAGCAACAUAUUAUUGGACUCUAAGUAUAUGGCAAAAGUUGCUGAUUUUGGACUUUCACGACUUGCACGAGUUCCAGAUAUUGAAGGGACAGUGUCUGCUCAUGUAUCCACUGUUGUGAAGGGGACGCCAGGUUACCUUGAUCCAGAGUAUAUCUUAACUUGUAAACUAACAGACAAGAGUGAUGUUUAUAGCCUUGGUGUUGUAUUUCUUGAACUGCUGACUGGGAAGCAGCCAAUCUCUCAUGGCAAAAACAUUGUUAGAGAGGUCAAUGUUGAGUAUAAAUCUGGUAUGAUCUUUUCGGCCAUUGAUGGGCGAAUGGAAUCUUAUCCUCCUGAAUGUGUGGUGAAAUUUUUAAAUUUGGCUCUCAAGUGUUGUGAAGAUGAGACAGAUGCUAGACCUUCAAUGGCAGAGGUGGAUCGAGAACUUGAAAGUAUAUGGCAUCUGAUGCCUGAUUCCUACAUUAGAUCAGCAGGUCCUAUGGUGACUAAUGCUGAAAAGGUUGCGACUCCACUAUCGUCAUCCUCCAUAGUGAAGGAUUCUUAUGUGUCGUCAGAAAUAUCUACCAUUGAACUUGUUAGUGGAGUCAUUCCAUCCAUUACACCUAGAUAAAAAACUUUUUGAAAAUAAUGUUGUAUAAGAACUUGAGAUGUUAUGAUCUCGAAACUUUGAAUUGGGAAAUGGUAUUUACAAUCAUCUUGGUUGUUGAUGUGUAAA
This is an RNA transcript of Quercus lobata, 3133 nucleotides long. It is a transcript of the gene named probable LRR receptor-like serine/threonine-protein kinase At1g06840, with no coding region annotated. The transcript has 20 exons. The record is from RefSeq and is a predicted model, not a curated record. Lineage: Eukaryota; Viridiplantae; Streptophyta; Magnoliopsida; Fagales; Fagaceae.